GAGUAACUAUGGAGUAUUAAUUUAAAUACAAAUAUCAACGUGUUCUGUCAAUGAACCUGCAUCGCUCUGAGGAAACCUUGCCAUCUCAGUUAUACGCUGCCGUGCUUCAGGGUUUUGAAGCCAGCCUGGUGGAGAUGUUUCUGGUGGAGGUAUACAGGUACAAGCACUUCCAGUUCACAAGCAGCAUCAAAAGUACGAUCAGGACAUACCUGGCUCAUACAUGUGAAACAGAUACAGGGUCAAAUUCCAGGCUCUCCUAAAAUUGACCAAAAUGAAAAUGAAUCGUAUAGCAUGGGAGAUGAAGCUAACCAAGAAAAUAAGGAAAACGAAGAAAAUUUUGCAAGAAAUAUCUGUCUUAUUACCUGUGUAUCAGAUGCUUCAAAAUGAGUCCUCCCUGCUGUGACAUGAGCCCAAGUAGUCAGAGCAGUAACUCUCAUGCCUCUCACUUUUGCGAAGUGAACACCUCAUUUGGAGCAGCAGCACCUCCUUUGCAGCUUGAGGAGCCCUGUUCUGCACUGCCAGCUGCUCUUACAAGUUCCAGGAGUAAAGAUGAAAAAGCCCAGUCUGUGCAUCUUGGCCUCUGUUGUGUUUCCGGUAUUACAGCUUGGACCUUAGCUGGGGAGAUAAAAAACUCUAAAGCUGAAGCAAGGUGUAAAAAUUUCAAAAAUCAGAAGAAAGCUAGAUGUGACAGUAAAAGGUUAGCUCAUCCUGUGACACAUGCUUGGGCCUUAAAGCUGGGUUCUGAGAGAAGGCAGCAUUUCUGCAGUGUGUGCAGCAUAGGACUGAAGUCGAAAGAUGCUCAUAAAGUCCAUGAAAAGGGUCAUGAUACGGACCGUGGCUUUAAGUGCGUUUAUUGUCGCACGGCUGAGUGGGACUUAAUGGAGAAUCAUUUAAAAUCACAGAAGGGAUAAAAGAAACCUACCAGUGCCUCAUCAGUGAAAGUGUUCUUGUGUCACAGAGUGCCUGGAAAGUGCACAGAAACAGCCACCUGAGGAAACUUCAUCUCUUUAAACGCACAAUACGUUCAUCAUCUUCUGAAACUGAGCGGAUAAGAAAUCUUCACGUAGUUUGCCGUUAUCAGGAUGUGUUUAAAUGUCUGCACAGUGAUUUUACCAGUCCUGUGAUACUUAGACCCACUGGCUUCAGCUCCAGUAUGGCAUCCUAACAUACGUUGUGUUGGUGGUGACUUGUUGACCAUUGAACCACGCUGGAGAAGCUGGUGUACACUGAAUGGAGGGUUAGGGCUCAUCACAAUAAAAGAAGCCCAUGAUAUAGAAGCCAGACUUAAUGAGGUGGAAAAGCUUCUGAAGACUAUUAUAAACAUGCCAUGGAAGUAUUCAAGAUCUGAAGUUGUCCUCACAUUCUUUGAGAGAUCUCCUUUGGACCAAGUUCUAAAAAAUGACAAUGUCCAUAAAAUUCAGCCAAGCUUUCAAAGUCCAGUUAAAAUAUCAGAAAUCAUGCGAUCAAAUGGAUUUUGUUUAGCCAACACUGAGACAAUAGUCAUUGACCACAGUAUACCCAAUGGAAAAGAGAAGCACCUGGAUGUAGAUUCAGCAGAACACUUGUUCGAAAGUGUUAGUGACUUUACCUCAGAGCUAGAAGACAGCGAUGAUCCAACAGCUUAUGUCACCAAUUUGACAUACUACCACUUGGUCCCAUUCGAGACUGAUAUUCUGGACUGAGGCUGCUCAGUGAUGCAGUCAGCCAGCAUCCAGCCGACCUCUUUGUCCAUAGGCUCUGCUAUCUCCGGCGUUGCAUCUCUGUGAAUAAGGCUGUGCAGGCAAGACCAACAGCAGGGAAGUUGCAGCAAGUGCACCACAAAGCUGGUUUUGUAGUCGAGCACUCUGCUGUGUGUUACAGUGACAUCUUGUAAGGAGGUAACUGCUUUGCUGUUAACGAACUCAUUUUCUGUGAAAGCAAGACAGCAGAGGCCUCUUGGAGCUCAAGGAAAUCUCUGCUGUGUCUGUGGGAAUGCCGCUCUGACACAGCUAUUGGAAACUUGUGCUGUAGUCUGUCACCCACGCUCCUUGAGUUGCAGAGCAAGUUGAGGCUUCCUCUUUUAGGAUACCACGGGAAACUUCCCCAGAUGGCGUGACCACGCUUUUUAUGCUAUGUAAGCAAGAAGGCAAGCAAACCAGCUGAAUUUUGUCAGUUCCCUCUGCGGUUGCUUAAUGGAGGUCUUGUGGGUCACUUUUUGCUCAGCUACGGGAUGACUGGUGCCUUACACGAGAUGUCAGAAAUACCAUCGAGUGCCUACAGGAAACAGAACACAUGAGCUGACUGCUUUACUUCUUUUAAUCAUGGGGUUUUAUAUAAUUACUGAAGAAGCAACUACUCUUUCCUGGAAUAGUAAAGCAGACAGCAGCUGGCAUUGCAAUGGACUGUGCAUGAUUUUGGGGUACCUAUGUGAUUUCAGAGAUCUGGAAAGCUGAUGGGAAAGCUGAGCUGCCCUGCUAAAAAGGGUCAAGGCUAUGGCAGGCUCUUGGAUAUGAUUUUUUUUCAUGUGGACCAGCAAAUGUGAAUGGUGCUUACAGUUGUUUACAUCAGAGAGACAAUUCCCUAUGCAUAUUUCUUCCCAGAGGAUGGGAAGGAAGGCAAUGAGAUUUAUGUUGUGUUUGGACUGAGAAAGAGCGAUAAGCUACAGUGUUUCUACAGUGGUAGGAAAAACAUUCUCUCCACUGCCAGCCUGGCUUAAGGAGACUGUCUAGCUUUUCAACAUCUGCCUGUGGGGCCGGGAGCAGCCUUCAUUGUCAUGUAAUGCCAUGGAUUUUAGUGGAGGCAGGACAGCGGGAGCAAGAGCGGGAUUGGACCCUGCAGCCUCUUGACUACUGAGUAGUUGCAAUGUUGAAAUCUCCUCAGGGUGUCUCUCUUGUGGAGCACUCUGAAAUCCCAGCUCUCACUGUGAGUGCUCAACAUAAACGUGACCUUUCAUUGAGUUUUUUGCGAUCUGUUUGCAAACAUGAAUUAGAAGGGAUCAAAAUGGGAAGGAAUGCAUUUUGGACUUGUUUCUUGGUAAAGGGGCUUGCUUGGUCCUGAAGAAGUUCAUACAUCUCCCUUCUGCAGACUUUCCAUUUCUAUCUAUAGAAUAACAGUCAAACAGAAUUUGCUAAUGUAAAUAAUAAAUUAUUGAGAAUCCUAAUUCUUUUACACAGUAUGUUUUAAAAAUAUAUUUUAAUGAAAUAAAAUAUAACUCACCUUCA
Molecule: RNA transcript, 3200 nt
Organism: Strigops habroptila (Kakapo)
Lineage: Eukaryota; Metazoa; Chordata; Aves; Psittaciformes; Psittacidae
Gene: PXDC1
Gene name: PX domain containing 1
Exons: 6
Source: RefSeq, a predicted model, not a curated record